Molecule: long non-coding RNA, 829 nt
Organism: Bombina bombina (fire-bellied toad)
Lineage: Eukaryota; Metazoa; Chordata; Amphibia; Anura; Bombinatoridae
Exons: 7
Source: RefSeq, a predicted model, not a curated record
CAUGAUCAUAAAGCCAUGAGGUUGCUUCUGGAAGGUUAAAAUUGCGCCAAAACAAAUUGUGACGAUGUUUGUGCUGUUGCAGCUGGCUUGUUUGGAAUAUCUAUCCAGCUCAAAAAUGGCUCCAGCGGUUAGAAACAGGUGUUGGAUGGCAGAAUGGUUUUAUGGAAACUUCAAGCAUAUGACAGCUUAAUUUUCUUCCACAAGGCUGUGAGACCAGUUUGCAGGUGAUGCUAAAGUUAUCAGAUCUACAGCACCAGGUGACAUCAGCCAACACUUAGUGUCUAGCUUAUUGUCAAAAGAAAUGUCUGUGCGUCCUUUGUUAAACCAGAUGUAGCAAUGUGACGCGAGAGGCCAUAAUGUAUAAAUAGGUCUUCACCUCAACUGUGUCUGCUGACAUCCAGGCUGCAAGUUGCAUAUGUGACCGUGUAUGGAGAGAUGCUCACUUCACCUCUUGUUUACGCAGAAGAAAGGCUUCCACGCUGUCACUAGAUGAUUCUCACUCAUUACAAUGGCACCAUGAUGACGGUUUACAGAUUACAGAGAACCUAAUCUAACGCCUUUCUGCAACUAUUGAAUAAUUGGAACACAACUUGUGACUUUAGCCCAGUGACAUUAAGCUAGGUUCUGUCAUAGCUGUCUCUUUAAAGAUGAACAAUUAAACAUAUACACACACGGUGCGCACAGGGAAAAAAGGCGAUUAUGGCAGAAGUGCAGCAUUUUUCUUCGACUACCUUGAACGAUAAACAUGGAUGUCAUUUGGGUUUAUGACCUCUGGCUGCUAUUUUAAGUGUUGUGUUGCUGUGUGUCAAUAAAGCUUUGACUUCUCUUA